UGCUGCUAUGUGCUGCUACCUACGCAAUCCUAUUCUGUCAUCUCCGCUUAUAGAUCCCACUCAUUUUUUAAGUUGCAGGUAGUUUUAAUUUUCAUCAUCCUCUAACUCUCAGUAGAUCUCUCUCUCUCUCUCUCUCAUGACGAUAUCCUCAAUGUUCCUCUCCUUCUCUUCUCUCCCCCGUCCAUCAUCUCUUCCUCCAUUUCCAUCUCCAUUCAUCUCUCCCCAAAACUCCCCCUUCUUCAACACCUCCAUCGUCCUCUCUCUCAAUCCCCCACAAGAAAGAGUCCCACCACAAGAGCUUUCACAGGCUAGCAAUAAUACAAAGAAGCCAUCAAAGACAAGGACCUCGCCCAAACACUUCGCUUCUUGAAAUCCGUCAAAUCCCUUCCCCUCCAAUCCUCUCUCGAUGGCGACAGCAGCAGCGCCGGUCUUUUGCAGCUACAGUGGCCAAAGAGGGACUGGGAAGUGCUCGACACUUGCUUGAAUGCCGAUGACAUGAAGCUUGUCAGCAGCGCCUAAAAGUUCCCCCAUUACAGGGGCUUCCUCCCUGAUAUUGGGAAGUGCAAGAACAUCAGUGGAAACAUGACGAAAUCCAGACAGCUUUUCCAGCAGCCUCAAUGUGGAUGCUCAUAGUCAAACGGAUUGAUCAAAGAGAUUAAUUUUAGAGUGGGAUGUUAAAAGAAAAGCAGAUGGAAGGUUUGAAUGCAGUUGGAAUCACCCUGCCAUUGACCCUACUUGUACAAAUUGAGGCUAUCAUGUACUAUUCUUUCCAAGGAUCAUAUACAAUCUAGAUCAUCAGAUAAUGUGCUUGGUGGUAACGCAUGAGAUAGGCGACCCGAAUCACGUUAUUAUCUAUAAUAUGAUCAAAUGGGAGGGUCUCAUCAGUCUUAGUUCUUACA
Molecule: long non-coding RNA, 899 nt
Organism: Magnolia sinica
Lineage: Eukaryota; Viridiplantae; Streptophyta; Magnoliopsida; Magnoliales; Magnoliaceae
Exons: 2
Source: RefSeq, a predicted model, not a curated record